UAUUAGAUGCUAUAAACUUUAGUUCCUUAAGCCAUAUUAUGAAUCUUUAACUUAAUAAGUUAUAUGUUUUGACAUGUAACACUUGAAUAUUAAUUGUUUUAUACUUGAGAGGACAAUUCCAAUAAUAUUAAAAUUGAUGGACUUUAAACAAUUAAUAUUCAUAACUUAAAUAUUAUAAUUGAACAAUAAAUAAUAUGUCAAUUAAAAUUUGAAACUUAAAAGAUUUGAAACGUUUUUAACCUCACUAGACAAAAAUAAUCG
Molecule: long non-coding RNA, 261 nt
Filed under: Nicotiana benthamiana
Lineage: Eukaryota; Viridiplantae; Streptophyta; Magnoliopsida; Solanales; Solanaceae
Description: long non-coding RNA (NBEN_LNC038455)
Source: RNAcentral